GUGCCAGCCGCCGCGGUAAAACGUAGGAGGCGAGCGUUAUCCGGAUUCACUGGGCGUAAAGCGCGUGCAGGCGGUUUGGUAAGUUGGGCGUGAAAGCUCCCGGCUCAACUGGGAGAGGUCGUCCAAAACUACCAGACUAGAGAGCGAUAGAGGAAAAUGGAAUUCCCGGUGUAGUGGUGAAAUGCGUAGAUAUCGGGAGGAACACCAGUGGCGAAGGCGAUUUUCUGGAUCGUUUCUGACGCUCAGACGCGAAAGCUAGGGUAGCAAACGGGAUUAGAAACCCCUGUAGUCC
RNAcentral lists this ribosomal RNA (292 nucleotides) under uncultured bacterium. RNAcentral's name for it is "partial 16S ribosomal RNA". It matches the Rfam family "Bacterial small subunit ribosomal RNA", at positions 505 to 796 of the family's 1533-position model. The record is from RNAcentral.